CCAGCUCCAAUAGCGUAUAUUAAAGUUGUUGCAGUUAAAAAGCUCGUAGUUGAACUUCUGUCCAGGUUCGUUUCGGCUCGCCGGGGCAACUCUGGACAUACGUCUGCAAGCUAAAAUCGGCCUUUACUGGUUCGACUUAGUGAGUAGACAUUUUACUGUGAAAAAAUUAGAGUGUUUCAGGCAGGUUUUAGCCCGUAUACAUUAGCAUGGAAUAAUGGAAUAGGACUAAGUCCAUUUUAUUGGUUAUUGGAUUUGGUAAUGAUUAAUAGGGACAGUUGGGGGCAUUAGUAUUUAAUAGUCAGAGGUGAAAUUCUUGGAUUUAUUAAGGACUAACUAAUGCGAAAGCAUUUGCCAAAGAUGUUUUCA
This 366-nucleotide ribosomal RNA is filed under the name uncultured Glaucoma. RNAcentral's name for it is "SSU rRNA". It matches the Rfam family "Eukaryotic small subunit ribosomal RNA", at positions 585 to 972 of the family's 1831-position model. The record is from RNAcentral. Lineage: Eukaryota; Ciliophora; Oligohymenophorea; Hymenostomatida.